GGCUUAGAGUUUGAUCCUGGCUCAGGACGAACGCUGGCGGCGUGCCUAAUACAUGCAAGUCGAACGGUCUUUUCUAUGGAAGCUUGCUUCCGCUGAGAAGAUAGUGGCGAACGGGUGAGUAACACGUGGGUAACCUGCCCAUAAGAGGGGGAUAACAUCCGGAAACGGGUGCUAAUACCGCAUAGUUUUCUUGAUCGCAUGAUCGAGAAAGGAAAGACGGCCUUUGUGCUGUCGCUUAUGGAUGGACCCGCGGCGUAUUAGUUAGUUGGGUGAGGUAAUGGCUCACCAAGACGAUGAUACGUAGCCCGACCUGAGAGGGUGAUCGGCCACAUUGGGACUGAGACACGGCCCAAACUCCUACGGGAGGCAGCAGUARGGAAUCUUCCGCAAUGGACSAAAGUYUGAMSGRCAACGCCGCGUGARUGAAGAAGKUUUCSGAUCSUAAAACUCUGUUGUC
This 457-nucleotide ribosomal RNA is filed under the name uncultured Bacteroides sp. RNAcentral's name for it is "partial 16S rRNA". It matches the Rfam family "Bacterial small subunit ribosomal RNA", at positions 1 to 440 of the family's 1533-position model. The record is from RNAcentral. Lineage: Bacteria; Pseudomonadati; Bacteroidota; Bacteroidia; Bacteroidales; Bacteroidaceae.